RNAcentral lists this ribosomal RNA (584 nucleotides) under uncultured bacterium. RNAcentral's name for it is "partial 16S ribosomal RNA". It matches the Rfam family "Bacterial small subunit ribosomal RNA", at positions 355 to 1375 of the family's 1533-position model. The record is from RNAcentral.
UGGGGAAUUUUGGACAAUGGGCGAAAGCCUGAUCCAGCAAUGCCGCGUGUGUGAAGAAGGCCUUCGGGUUGUAAAGCACUUUUGUCCGGAAAGAAAUCCUUGGCUCUAAUACAGUCGGGGGAUGACGGUACCGGAAGAAUAAGCACCGGCUAACUACGUGCCAGCAGCCGCGGUAAUACGUAGGGUGCAAGCGUUAAUCGGAAUUACUGGGCGUAAAGCGUGCGCAGGCGGUUUGCUAAGACCGAUGUGAAAUCCCCGGGCUCAACCUGGGAACUGCAUUGGUGACUGGCAGGCUAGAGUAUGGCAGAGGGGGGUAGAAUUCCACGUGUAGCAGUGAAAUGCGUAGAGAUGUGGAGGAAUACCGAUGGCGAAGGCAGCCCCCUGGGCCAAUACUGACGCUCAUGCACGAAAGCGUGGGGAGCAAACAGGAUUAGAUACCCUGGUAGUCCACGCCCUAAACGAUGUCAACUAGUUGUUGGGGAUUCAUUUCCUUAGUAACGUAGCUAACGCGUGAAGUUGACCGCCUGGGGAGUACGGUCGCAAGAUUAAAACUCAAGGAAUUGACGAGGUCAUAGCUGUUUCCU